AUGCAAGUCGAACGAUGAUCAGGAGCUUGCUCCUGUGAUUAGUGGCGAACGGGUGAGUAACACGUGAGUAACCUGCCCCUGACUCUGGGAUAAGCGUUGGAAACGACGUCUAAUACUGGAUAUGAUCACUGGUCGCAUGGCCUGGUGGUGGAAAGAUUUUUUGGUUGGGGAUGGACUCGCGGCCUAUCAGCUUGUUGGUGAGGUAAUGGCUCACCAAGGCGACGACGGGUAGCCGGCCUGAGAGGGUGACCGGCCACACUGGGACUGAGACACGGCCCAGACUCCUACGGGAGGCAGCAGUGGGGAAUAUUGCACAAUGGGCGAAAGCCUGAUGCAGCAACGCCGCGUGAGGGAUGACGGCCUUCGGGUUGUAAACCUCUUUUAGUAGGGAAGAAGGGAGCUUCGGUUCUUGACGGUACCUGCAGAAAAAGCACCGGCUAACUACGUGCCAGCAGCCGCGGUAAUACGUAGGGUGCAAGCGUUGUCCGGAAUUAUUGGGCGUAAAGAGCUCGUAGGCGGUUUGUCGCGUCUGCUGUGAAAUCCCGAGGCUCAACCUCGGGCUUGCAGUGGGUACGGGCAGACUAGAGUGCGGUAGGGGAGAUUGGAAUUCCUGGUGUAGCGGUGGAAUGCGCAGAUAUCAGGAGGAACACCGAUGGCGAAGGCAGAUCUCUGGGCCGUAACUGACGCUGAGGAGCGAAAGCAUGGGGAGCGAACAGGAUUAGAUACCCUGGUAGUCCAUGCCGUAAACGUUGGGCGCUAGAUGUAGGGACCUUUCCACGGUUUCUGUGUCGUAGCUAACGCAUUAAGCGCCCCGCCUGGGGAGUACGGCCGCAAGGCUAAAACUCAAAGGAAUUGACGGGGGCCCGCACAAGCGGCGGAGCAUGCGGAUUAAUUCGAUGCAACGCGAAGAACCUUACCAAGGCUUGACAUACACCGGAAACGGCCAGAGAUGGUCGCCCCCUUGUGGUCGGUGUACAGGUGGUGCAUGGUUGUCGUCAGCUCGUGUCGUGAGAUGUUGGGUUAAGUCCCGCAACGAGCGCAACCCUCGUUCUAUGUUGCCAGCGGGUUAUGCCGGGGACUCAUAGGARACUGCCGGGGUCAACUCGGAGGAAGGUGGGGAUGACGUC
RNAcentral lists this ribosomal RNA (1127 nucleotides) under Curtobacterium sp. RNAcentral's name for it is "bacterial SSU rRNA". It matches the Rfam family "Bacterial small subunit ribosomal RNA", at positions 55 to 1186 of the family's 1533-position model. Lineage: Bacteria; Bacillati; Actinomycetota; Actinomycetes; Micrococcales; Microbacteriaceae. The record is from RNAcentral.